CCUACGGGUGGCAGCAGUGGGGAAUAUUGGGCAAUGGGCGCAAGCCUGACCCAGCAACGCCGCGUGAAGGAAGACGGCUCUCGGGUUGUUAACUUCUUUUGACAGGGAAGUGUAAUAGACGGUACCUGUCGAAUAAGCCACGGCUAACUACGUGCCAGCAGCCGCGUUCAUACGUAGGUGGCAAGCGUUGUCCGGAUUUACUGGGUGUAAAGGGCGUGUAGCCGGGUUGACAAGUCAGAUGUGAAAUCCUGCGGCUUAACCGCAGAACUGCGGUUGAAACUGUUGCUCUUGAGUACUGGAGAGGCAGACGGAAUUCCUAGUGUAGCGGUGAAAUGCGUAGAUAUUAGGAGGAACACCAGUGGCGAAGGCGGUCUGCUGGACAGCAACUGACGGUGAGGCGCGAAGGCGUGGGGAGCGAACAGGAUUAGAUACCCGAGUAGUC
RNAcentral lists this ribosomal RNA (442 nucleotides) under uncultured bacterium. Its description in RNAcentral is "partial 16S ribosomal RNA". It matches the Rfam family "Bacterial small subunit ribosomal RNA", at positions 338 to 795 of the family's 1533-position model. The record is from RNAcentral.